Molecule: long non-coding RNA, 151 nt
Organism: Xenopus tropicalis (tropical clawed frog)
Lineage: Eukaryota; Metazoa; Chordata; Amphibia; Anura; Pipidae
Exons: 3
Source: RefSeq, a predicted model, not a curated record
CUCACAGCUACAGGCAGCAGAGCAGUGUGGGAAAGAGUGUUCACUCCUCAGGCUCAAACUGUAGGCGCCACAUUGUUCAACUGUUCACACCUCAAACAGGCUGUGGGGGAAGUGCCAGCAUUGUGUCAGUGCCCCUCCCUCCCACAAGGAG